RNAcentral lists this long non-coding RNA (2458 nucleotides) under Trifolium pratense (red clover). Its description in RNAcentral is "long non-coding RNA (TPRA_LNC012798)". The record is from RNAcentral. Lineage: Eukaryota; Viridiplantae; Streptophyta; Magnoliopsida; Fabales; Fabaceae.
AAUGCAGACAUUAUUCACAAAUUUUCAAUUCAAGACUAGUGUCUAAAUGCAGAAGUAGAAAAAAAAAACGAGCGAAGUACACAGAAGUACACAGAUUAGAGUGAUUUAUUACUUUUCCAACCCAAAAGAAAUGCAAGAUGUUUGCUCAGGCAUGCCUAGUAUAUGUGCCCUCUAUAAAUACAUAGCAACAUCCAAUGCUGAAUGAAAAGAUUUAUAAAUGCUAGAAACGGGCCAAGCCUAUUUAGCUCCAAAUAGAGAGUUUCUUUAUGAAAUUUUAUCUUGACAAAUACUAAGUACUAACAAUAUAAUAUAUUUUCUAGCUUAGCUACAACACUUGAAUUCAUGAAAGAANNNNNNNNNNNNNNNNNNNNNNNNNNNNNNNNNNNUCAUCAACUAUCCUCCAUCUGCAAUAUUCAUCAACAAUAAUCAAAUUAUAGCUUAUCUUAACAGGAUCAAAGUCAAAGACUCAAAAUCAUAUUUUGCCACAUACCUCUCGAGCAAAAAUUCCCCUUCCUUAAAAUUUUCACUUUUCUCAUGUGCUAUGACCUGAAAGAAUCCAAAAUUAUUACUUCAAACUGCAUUGAGCUCAUCAAAAGGUGAUGCUGAUAUACUUGGAGAUGAGACUAAACAGGAUAUUAAAUAAAUCCAGAGUUUCAUGGAAUGCAUCAACUAAAUUAACUUCUCAUGGAACAGGAAACAAUUUCUUUAAACUGGAUAUUAAAUAAAUCCAGAGUUUCAUGGAAUGCAUCAACUAAAUUAAGUGUUUAAUAUGGUUUAAUGGAUAAAAUUCCCCAUAUCUGAGGUAAUAUAUAUCUACAGAUAUCAUAUUUUGAAUUUCUGAUUUACCUACAUAUUCAAUCAAAUCGAUAGCUAAUUUUAACUUUCAAGACUGACCACCAAAAUUAAUGAUGUCAAUGAACUAUCUCCUAUAUAAAAAAUAAAAAUAAAAAUACUUGUGGAACUUACAGAUUAAAUUCCAAUUUCUUUAAAAACCAAAGAAAAAUUGAAGAGUAUGCAUUUCAGAAUUUGAGGUUUAAUUUUCAUUGUUAUUCAUUGGACUACAACAACCAAAGCCUUUUCCAACUAGAUGGAGUUGAUUGCAUGAAUCAAAAAAACAUGAUUAAGUUCUCUUAUUAUAAAGCAAUUCCAUAAAUCAAGCUAAUCCAUCAUGUCACAGAAACACUGAGGUCCGUUAAACUUUCCUAAAAAUCUCAAUAUCUUAUAUCAAUAACACAGGAGAAAGGGGCAAAGUUCUCUUAUAUCUAUCAUGCAUACUCUUACUAAAUUGUCUGAAGCACAAUACUUUUUUUUUUAGAAACAGCAAAAAAUUUAUUCAAAAGAGGCACUUGAGUACAAGAGAUACACAAGGAGCACAAGGCAGGAGCCAAAAAGAGCCCACCUGAAAAACAAAAGCAACACCAACAAGGCAAAAAAACUCCACCCAAAACAAAAGCAAAAACCAGAAACUACGGAGGAAUAAAAAGAGACCAAGAAAACUCCAGUAGCAGCAACACAACCUCAGCCACACACCAUGGAACAAAAGAUGAAUACAAGAAGACUCACCAUGGAACACGAGGAAAAGAAUGAACAGAUUGGGAGGGAUAAUAACAUCCAAAUUCAGCCACACACCAACCUCCCUCCACACUUUCUGAGCAAAAUUACAGUGGAGCAAAAGAUGAAUACAAGACUCAGCUUUAUCCACACACCACAAACAGUCUUGAUUACCAGCAAGAUGCAACAGCCUUCUCCUNNNNNNNNNNNNNNNNNNNNNNNNNNNNNNNNAGAUCUAUAUGAAAGUGUGAUAAUAAACAUGGAUAAUAAAGGAGAAAGGGGCAAGGAACAAAGAAUAUAAACAAAUGUUUCAAAUAAACUUACACUUUGCUGAAAAGGUAUGCCCUCCCUCGACCGCAGGAGUGAAAUUUGUUGGAACGAAGCUUGAGGGCAGGAGUUAAGGUUGAACGAAUUCGAAAAAACGUUGGAAUGAAGAAGAUGAAUUCGUCGUUGUUCAUUACGUGGCGGGUGGAGCACUCUAGGCGGCGGGUUACCAGNNNNNGACAACUUCUUUCUCCCUUGCCUUGCUUGCUCCAUUUUCCUUUUUCUAAUUAAAAGUAGCAAGUCACGUUGGUGGAUUGCUUGAUAGCAUAGAUGGAAUUUGACAAGAAGAUGGAAUUAAGCUUAAAUUUGUCCUGGGUUGAUACAGAUAUUGAGAAAUUGAUACAUAUAUUGAGAUGGUUUUUUAAUUUGGGAUUUAGGGUUUUCUUGAUGCUACAUAGAAAAUGGAUGUUAUCACAUAUUAUUUAGGGAUUUAUGCAUGAUUUUUUUUAAUUGAAAUAUUGAUGGUUUUUUUUAGGGAUGAUUUUUUUUAAUUGAAAUAAAUUAUUUUUUUUGUUUGUAAUUUGUAAAUGAAUAUUUACUUGAUGGGGGACUCAUAUGCAAUAAAUAAAAGUUUGUUAAAAAA